AAUUAUUUAGUUUAUACAAAAUAUUGGCUUGUCAAGUCGGAGAAUUAAUUUUUUUAAAAUAAUUA
RNAcentral lists this transfer RNA (65 nucleotides) under Biomphalaria straminea. RNAcentral's name for it is "tRNA-Asp". The record is from RNAcentral. Lineage: Eukaryota; Metazoa; Mollusca; Gastropoda; Planorbidae.